RNAcentral lists this unclassified non-coding RNA (237 nucleotides) under plant metagenome. Its description in RNAcentral is "partial contains small subunit ribosomal RNA, internal transcribed spacer 1, and 5.8S ribosomal RNA". The record is from RNAcentral.
UUUCCGUAGGUGAACCUGCGGAAGGAUCAUUACUGAGUGAGGGCCCCUCGGGGUCCAACCUCCCGCCCGUGUUUAACGAACCUUGUUGCUUCGGCGGGCCCGCCUCACGGCCGCCGGGGGGGCAUCUGCCCCCGGGCCCGCGCCCGCCGAAGCCACCUGUGAACGCUGUCUGAAGUAUGCAGUCUGAGACAAUUAUUAAAUUAAUUAAAACUUUCAACAACGGAUCUCUUGGUUCCG